GUCUUUUUGAUAAUAAUUUAAGGUCUGGCCUGCUCAGUGAUUAAUUUAAAUAGCCGCAGUAUUAUGACUGUGCAAAGGUAGCAUAAUCAUUAGUCUUUUAAUUGAAGGCUGGAAUGAAUGGCUUGACGAGGAAUGGACUGUUUCUAUCUAAUAUUUAAAAUUUAAUUUUUAAGUGAAAAAGCUUAAAUAAGUUUUUAGGACGAGAAGACCCUAUAGAGCUUUAUUAAAUUGGGUUUAUUGAAUUUAGUUUAAUUUUGUAUUUAUAAUUUAAUUUAAUUGAGUUGGGGUGACUGGAAAGAUAAUUAAACCUUUUCUUAUAUUUUACAUUAAUUUAUGUUUAAUUUGAUCCUUAAUUUUGGAUUAAAAGAUUAAGUUACCUUAGGGAUAACAGCGUAAUUAUCUUUGAGAGUUCAUAUUAACAAGAUAGUUUGCGACCUCGAUGUUGGAUUAAGAAAAAUUUUAGGUGCAGAAGCUUAAUAAUUGGGUCUGUUCGACCCUUAAUUUCUU
RNAcentral lists this ribosomal RNA (507 nucleotides) under Astromascopia daguerrei. RNAcentral's name for it is "partial 16S ribosomal RNA". It matches the Rfam family "Bacterial large subunit ribosomal RNA", at positions 1819 to 2597 of the family's 2925-position model. Lineage: Eukaryota; Metazoa; Arthropoda; Insecta; Orthoptera; Proscopiidae. The record is from RNAcentral.